This 570-nucleotide ribosomal RNA is filed under the name uncultured bacterium. RNAcentral describes it as "bacterial SSU rRNA". It matches the Rfam family "Bacterial small subunit ribosomal RNA", at positions 47 to 599 of the family's 1533-position model. The record is from RNAcentral.
CUUAAUACAUGCAAGUCGAGCGAACAGAUGAGGAGCUUGCUCCUCUGACGUUAGCGGCGGACGGGUGAGUAACACGUGGAUAACCUACCUAUAAGACUGGGAUAACUUCGGGAAACCGGAGCUAAUACCGGAUAAUAUAUUGAACCGCAUGGUUCAAUAGUGAAAGACGGUUUUGCUGUCACUUAUAGAUGGAUCCGCGCCGCAUUAGCUAGUUGGUAAGGUAACGGCUUACCAAGGCAACGAUGCGUAGCCGACCUGAGAGGGUGAUCGGCCACACUGGAACUGAGACACGGUCCAGACUCCUACGGGAGGCAGCAGUAGGGAAUCUUCCGCAAUGGGCGAAAGCCUGACGGAGCAACGCCGCGUGAGUGAUGAAGGUCUUCGGAUCGUAAAACUCUGUUAUUAGGGAAGAACAAAUGUGUAAGUAACUAUGCACGUCUUGACGGUACCUAAUCAGAAAGCCACGGCUAACUACGUGCCAGCAGCCGCGGUAAUACGUAGGUGGCAAGCGUUAUCCGGAAUUAUUGGGCGUAAAGCGCGCGUAGGCGGUUUUCUAAGUCUGAUGUGAAA